This 240-nucleotide unclassified non-coding RNA is filed under the name soil metagenome. RNAcentral describes it as "partial contains 5.8S ribosomal RNA, internal transcribed spacer 2, and large subunit ribosomal RNA". The record is from RNAcentral.
AACAUCGCGCACCUGCGGGAACCUGCGGAAGGAUCAUUAGCGAGUUGCAAAACUCCCAAACCAUUGUGAACCUACCUGUACCGUUCCUUCGGCGGGCGGCCCACGCCCUAACCUGCCAGCCCCCUCGCGGGCCGGCGGACCCGCCGGAGGCCCCUAAACCCUUAGCUUCUUUGGCACCUCUGAGUAUACUUUUUAAUAAGUCAAAACUUUCAACAACGGAUCUCAGAUCGGAAGAGCACA